Molecule: ribosomal RNA, 238 nt
Filed under: uncultured bacterium
Lineage: Bacteria
Description: partial 16S ribosomal RNA
Rfam family: Bacterial small subunit ribosomal RNA
Source: RNAcentral
AAUCAACGCUGGCGGCGUGCCUCAGACAUGCAAGUCGAACGCGAAAGUCCCCUUCGGGGACGAAGUAGAGUGGCGCACGGGUGAGUAACACGUAGGUAAUCUACCUUCGGUAUGGGGAAGUAACAACCGGAAACGGUUAGCUAAUACCGCAUAAUGCAGCGGCACCUAAUGGUGACAGUUGUUAAAGACGGGGGAGUCGUUAAGACCUCGCGUCUGAAGAGGAGCCUGCGGCGGAUUA